CCUACGGGGGGCAGCAGUGGGGAAUAUUGCGCAAUGGGCGAAAGCCUGACGCAGCGACGCCGCGUGAGGGAUGAAGGUCUUCGGAUCGUAAACCUCUGUCAGCAGGGCAGAACGGUCACUGUGCUAAUCAGCAGUGAAUUGACGGUACCUACAAAGGAAGCACCGGCUAACUCCGUGCCAGCAGCCGCGGUAAUACGGAGGGUGCGAGCGUUAAUCGGAAUUACUGGGCGUAAAGCGCUCGUAGGAGGUAUGUCAAGUCAAGGGUGAAAUCCCCGCGCUCAACGUGGGAACUGCCUGUGAAACUGGCAAACUGGAGUGUGUGAGAGGAUAGUGGAAUGCCAGGUGUAGGAGUGAAAGCCGUAGAUAUCUGGAGGAACAUCAGUGGCGAAGGCGACUAUCUGGCACAUAACUGACGCUGAGGAGCGAAAGCGUGGGUAGCAAACAGGAUUAGAUACCCUUGUAGUC
RNAcentral lists this ribosomal RNA (465 nucleotides) under uncultured bacterium. RNAcentral describes it as "partial 16S ribosomal RNA". It matches the Rfam family "Bacterial small subunit ribosomal RNA", at positions 338 to 795 of the family's 1533-position model. The record is from RNAcentral.